UGACGGGGCCCGCACAAGCAGCGGAGCAUGUGGCUUAAUUCGACGCAACGCGAAGAACCUUACCCACCUUUGACAUGGCAGGAAUCCCGAAGAGAUUUGGGAGUGCUCGAAAGAGAACCUGCACACAGGUGCUGCAUGGCUGUCGUCAGCUCGUGCCGUGAGAUGUUGGGUUAAGUCCCGCAACGAGCGCAACCCUUGCCAUUAGUUGCUACGAAAGGGCACUCUAAUGGGACUGCCGGUGACAAACCGGAGGAAGGUGGGGAUGACGUCAAGUCCUCAUGGCCCUUAUAGGUGGGGCUACACACGUCAUACAAUGGCCGGUACAGAGGGUAGCCAACCCGCGAGGGGGAGCCAAUCCCACAAAGCCGGUCGUAGUCCGGAUCGCAGUCUGCAACUCGACUGCGUGAAGUCGGAAUCGCUAGUAAUCGCGGAUCAGCAUGUCGCGGUGAAUACGUUCCCGGGUCUU
This 466-nucleotide ribosomal RNA is filed under the name uncultured Allobrachymonas sp. RNAcentral describes it as "bacterial SSU rRNA". It matches the Rfam family "Bacterial small subunit ribosomal RNA", at positions 911 to 1382 of the family's 1533-position model. Lineage: Bacteria; Pseudomonadati; Pseudomonadota; Betaproteobacteria; Burkholderiales; Comamonadaceae. The record is from RNAcentral.